GCAAUGUUGUCACCAUCUCCUCUUUAGCCCAUGUAUCCUUGACAAGGUUGUUCUGCCCUUCAAGCUCAUAUGAUGGUUGUGCAUGUAGGAGACCUAGCCUUCUGUCACCAAGGAAACAGAAAGCAGAGGAGGAAUGUGACCGUGGGAGGCUGCAGGCAAAAGUGAUGUGGGGCCAAAACUGUACCUGGAAGCUACAUGGUACAAUCCCUGAGGCCCUGUUCAGACCUUCAUUCUAUUCUGGUGUCUUCCUAGUGACAGCCCUGCUAGCCAAUGACAACAACUUCUCCCUGACUCUUCCCCAGCCUUGCUUCCCAGUCCUGAGACUUGAAGAGCACAGAGGAUGGCCUCUGUAGGUCAGUCACUGGCUCUGGACCAUUGACCACUACCACUGCUUUUACUUGGGAUGGUGUUCAAAUUGUGGGAUGUCUGAGAAAGCUGGGUUCCACGUUUUUGCUAUGCAACCUGUUCCUCACGUCCUGGACUUUGCCUGCUCCAGUCCUCAGUUGCCAUUCAGUAAGCAUUGUGACGUGUAAGGCUCUCAGGAGAAGCCAGAUCCCAGUGGCAUUAGUGUGACAAACAAGCUGUGCCCAAGGAGCUGACACUCUGGCAGAGUCCAGGACAUUCAGGAAGACAGAGGUGGUGAG
This 644-nucleotide long non-coding RNA is filed under the name Rattus norvegicus (Norway rat). RNAcentral describes it as "long non-coding RNA NONRATT025647". Lineage: Eukaryota; Metazoa; Chordata; Mammalia; Rodentia; Muridae. The record is from RNAcentral.